Molecule: long non-coding RNA, 458 nt
Filed under: Rattus norvegicus (Norway rat)
Lineage: Eukaryota; Metazoa; Chordata; Mammalia; Rodentia; Muridae
Description: long non-coding RNA NONRATT003784
Source: RNAcentral
AACACAAUAGCAGAGUAGUUCGUAUACUUGUGCUCUGGGAAUCACGUGAAAGCGUAAUAGUUCCUCGUUGGAAGCUGGCUCUCAGCAGAAGGUACCGAGACAACCUGAAGAACCCAGUUCCUGUUCUCCUCUAAGUGAUGCUGUUCACCCUCCUCCUACUGCGAGCCCCGCAUCCUUCCUCGUCCUUUCUCCAGUUCCCUCAACUGCUGGUUCAGCCUGGAAGAGACCGUCUCUGAUGACCUAUUAACUCUGGGAGCAGACUGAUGGAGCUUCCUCUGCCCUCCUCGGGCCCAGAAAACAGCCCUAACGUGCGGAUGAGAGCCCAGGCCGACCUCUGAUUGGGAGGGAGGCUUGGAGAGUUGCAAGCUGCUCCAUCAGCACGGAAGUAGGUGCCAGCGAGGGAGAGGAUGAGCCAGGCCAGCGUGGGGUCCGUAAGCGCAGCGAAGACGUAGAGUACA